Molecule: ribosomal RNA, 223 nt
Filed under: uncultured bacterium
Lineage: Bacteria
Description: partial 16S ribosomal RNA
Rfam family: Bacterial small subunit ribosomal RNA
Source: RNAcentral
ACCCUUUGCGGGGGAUAGCCCUGGAAACCGGGGGUAAUACCGCAUGAGUCCUUCAUUUCACAUGGAAAGAAGGAGAAAGGCAGAGUUUCCGAGAGGAGCUAUGUCACCGAAGGAUGGCUUUGCGGCCUAUCAGGUAGUUGGUGGGGUAACGGCCUACCAAGCCUUAGACGGGUAGCUGGUCUGAGAGGAUGGUCAGCCACACUGGGACUGAGAUACGGCCCAG